GAGAGCGGCGGCGCUAGGCGGGAGGACGCGCGGGAGGCAGAGGGGCUGGGAGAGCUUAGCCCGGGCCACCGAGCGCCAGCACGUCACGACUGCUCCAAACCCUGCACGUCCCGGGAGCUGCGCUUUCUGCGUCUGGGAGAAUUCACCUGUGAAGCUCUCUGGUCCUGAACUUUUGUUUGUUAAGAUUUUUGGAUUUCUCAUUCAGUUUCAUUACCAGUGCUGCCAGACGACAGAUAGCUGGCCCAUUUGGCUUACUCACCAAGACUUUCUCCUCCUGUCUUUUGCUCCACUGCAUUUAGAUCUUUUAUUAACAUCUAACUAUAGCAGCCUUAUGUCUCUGGACUGCAAAAAGAAUUACUCUUGGAGAGGUCUGGAAUUUGUUCCAUUAUAUACUGGAAUAGGGCCAAAGGCUGACUACUUGAUUCUGAGUCUAGUGACAGAUUUAGUAUCUGCUUUCUCAAGAAGCCAAGAUAUUUGAAAUAUGUCCAAAGCCUGUCCUUAUUCCCUAUAAUCUGAUAUAUUAUUAUAACUUGAAAUUUCACCCAUUAUCUUCUGAGUUUGACAACAAUUGGUAAUAUUGAAUGAGAUUAUGUGAGAGUUCACAUACACCUUAAAGAGAGGGAAAACAACAAAGAAUCUUUUCUCCUUAUUUGGUUCAUUAAAACAAACAAACAAAAAAAUAACUCUAAGGGAGGGGUUGCAGAAAUUAUGAUGAAAUAUUAUUGUGGGGUCACUAUUACUAUUUUCAGAUCUGUGUUAGUAGGAAAAUUAUGUCAAUAGAAACCCAGGGUUAAAGAGACCCCCUAGAGUCUACUAUUUAUAUUUACACAAUCAAUUUUACUACAUACUAGGCACAGUGCUAGGUACUUUAUGUACAUCAGUCUAUAUGCUAAGUUUGUAAAUUAGAUUAUCUUCUUCCAUUUUUUGUACAGGGGAAAAUUGAAGGUUAGAUAUAUUAGUAACUUGGGCAAGUAACAUUCUCAUGAACAAUGUGCUAGUAAGGGUAGAAUAGAAAUUCAUUAUUUUUUGUUAUGAAUUUUCCAUAUCAUAUCUCCAUAGUAACAAAAGGUGUGAAUUUUCCACAUCACAUCUCCAUAGUAACAAAAGGUGAGAUGGGAAUCUUCCUUUAGAGAUUAUGGAGCAAAGUUCAGGGAAUAUAGUUAUCUCCCUUCAAAUGAAGCUACUAGGCUAGAGAAUUUGACCACAAACAUACAGAUAACUAAGGAUUUGUGCAUUGUAUGGAUGCUGGCCAAACAAAGCCCUGAAGAAUUGGUGGUAGUGGUGUUGUCAAUAUAGAGAAAGAACUGAUGGGAGGAGGCGGCCCAGAGUUAGAAGGUCAGUCCUAUUCAACAGUGACACCCACAGUCUGUCAUAUACUCUUCUCUACAAAUAUAAACCAUUGUCUCAGAUUUUCAGUAUUUUAUAGCACAUUAUAUAAGCAUAGUGAAAUGGUUAAUUUUAUGUGUGAACUUGACUGGGCCAUGGAGCAUCCAGAUAUUUGAUCAAAUCUUAUUCUGGAGGUUUCUGUGAGGAUUAACAUUUAAAAUGGUAGACUAAAUUAAGCUCACUUUCCCUAAUGGGGUUCAUUUGUGUGGGCUUCAGCAAAUUAGCUAAAAGCUUGAAUAGAAAAAAAGACUGAUUAUCUCCUGAGGAAGAAAGGAUUCUUUCUACUUGACUGCCUUUGUUUUGAAACUGCUUUUUUCUCAUUUUGAACUUGGGCAUUGGCUCUUCCUGGGUCUCCAAUCUGACAGCCUUUAGACUAGAGAUACACCAUGGACUCUCCUGAUUCCCAGGCUUUUGGACUCAGACUACAACUGUACUAUUGGCUUUCCUUGGCUCCAGUUUGACCCUUCACCCUGUAGAUCAUGGGACUUGUGUGUGCACAACCUCUUGGUUAUGUUUCUCUGAAGAACCCAAAUACAUAUAUGGUUGUUUACUUUUUUCUGUUUUUAGUAUACAGAGUAAUAGGUUUGUUAUUACUCUGAUUUGGAAGAAUAUAUUUUUAAAUAUUUAAUUCAAAUAAUAAAGUGUGAUGAAAC
Molecule: long non-coding RNA, 2039 nt
Filed under: Sus scrofa (pig)
Lineage: Eukaryota; Metazoa; Chordata; Mammalia; Artiodactyla; Suidae
Description: lncRNA (ENSSSCG00055015553.1)
Source: RNAcentral